UGAGGAAUAUUGGACAAUGGGCGCAAGCCUGAUCCAGCCAUGCCGCGUGCAGGAUGACGGUCCUAUGGAUUGUAAACUGCUUUUAUACGAGAAGAAACACUCCUUCGUGAAGGAGCUUGACGGUAUCGUAAGAAUAAGGAUCGGCUAACUCCGUGCCAGCAGCCGCGGUAAUACGGAGGAUCCAAGCGUUAUCCGGAAUCAUUGGGUUUAAAGGGUCCGUAGGCGGUUUAGUAAGUCAGUGGUGAAAGCCCAUCGCUCAACGGUGGAACGGCCAUUGAUACUGCUAGACUUGAAUUAUUAGGAAGUAACUAGAAUAUGUAGUGUAGCGGUGAAAUGCUUAGAGAUUACAUGGAAUACCAAUUGCGAAGGCAGGUUACUACUAAUAUAUUGACGCUGAUGGACGAAAGCGUGGGUAGCGAACAGGAUUAGAUACCCUGGUAGUCCACGCCGUAAACGAUGGAUACUAGCUGUUGGGAGCAAUCUCAGUGGCUAAGCGAAAGUGAUAAGUAUCCCACCUGGGGAGUACGGAACGCAAGUUUUG
RNAcentral lists this ribosomal RNA (541 nucleotides) under uncultured bacterium. RNAcentral describes it as "bacterial SSU rRNA". It matches the Rfam family "Bacterial small subunit ribosomal RNA", at positions 355 to 897 of the family's 1533-position model. The record is from RNAcentral.